Molecule: long non-coding RNA, 938 nt
Filed under: Heterocephalus glaber (naked mole-rat)
Lineage: Eukaryota; Metazoa; Chordata; Mammalia; Rodentia; Bathyergidae
Description: lncRNA (ENSHGLG00000039480.1)
Source: RNAcentral
CCAUCCAGCCACUGCUACCUGUCACUCUCCAGCAGGUCCUCAGGAAAGCUUCCGGUGGAGAGUCGCUGUGUCCCCGGUUCUGGGGCAUCAUACUGCUGGCUGUUCUCAAAGUGCUGAAUGAUGUUCCUUACAUUGCCCGGCUUGACUGCAGGCAAAAAGAAAAUGAAGAACACUAUGCCUUUUGUUCCAGGAUGACUUCUUGGGGCACUCAAUCCCUUCUAGCCCGGAAGACAGCAACGACACACCAUGGCUUUGAGGGUUUCCCUCACUUAUGCAGAGCCCCGACUUUCGAAAGCUCAUCCGUGGAAAGGUGGCAGAGCUGGAAAAAGGCCCCAGCUUCUCCCGGGGAAAACCGUGAAGGACCUCGAAGGCUGGUCUCUGCCAGAACCAUAGGAAGCUCCACCCACCAGAGCCCAGGUCAGCAGACAAGGCCUCCCGCCAGCACCUGGGCAGGAGCUCGGGGUCUGUGUCACAGGGCAGCCACAGCAACAAGGAGGGACACACAAGAGACACGCGGAGAGAAGAAAGGGAGGGAAGAAAGGGGGCAGAAUGGAGAGGAGACGGAAAGGGCAUGAUGAGACAUGGAGAUGGAAACUUGAUGCUAAUGCAGAUACACCCGAAUAAAAUAGUCCUUUUACCUUCCACAGGGGACAAGGGAAUAUGAAAUGCUAAAAGAAAAACAAAGAAAAACAAAAAGUAAACCAUGAAAUGUCAAACUGAUGCUUCAAGAGCCAAAAUAAAAAUUACAUCAAGCUGGAAAACAAAAAGGUAGUGGCAAAACUCAAGGAGAAUCUAAAGAGUCCCUUCCUCCCCCUCCCUAAUGCAGCCACUUCAGAAAGGGCACCAGGCCCGCUCUACUGUGCCCUACAGACUCCCCAGUGCUCGAGACCUAAGACACUGACAGCGAGGGCCAGCACCGACCAAUGCCCAGACACAGG